UCAUAAUUUACUAAAUUGGAGUUAAACAAGACCACUUAAAUCAUGAGGAAUGCAUUUCUUUACACUUAUUACUUAUGGUUUACAACAGGCAAAACUACUGAUACCACAUGUUUCAUACAAUUGCACAUUUGAUGACAAAUUAGACACUUAACUGUCUCAAGUAUAUAUGCGAUUCAUUAAUAAAUAAAAGUUGUUUUCCUAAUAGCCGAAGACAUGCGGACACCUCUGCACUGCAAGACCUGAAACUACAAGUAAAAGAAUUAUUGGAGGCCCCCCAUGGACUGGAGGCUGUGUCCCAGCAAAUCCAGAGCAUUGUCUCCAGUGCAGAGCGAGCUAUGCCAAGAACCCUUGUGACGGCCCUAAAGGAAACUUUUUCAUGUUCAAUUUGCACUGGAAUUAUGGAAAACCCAGUGUUUACAUCAUGCUGCAGGAGAAUUGUGGGGUGCAAGCUGUGCGUCAACCAAUGGGAGGCAACAUCUGCCCAGUGCCCUAAAUGCCGCUCCGAAGAGUACCACAUGACUGAAGUUGCUGGUCUCUCUGGAUGCAAUUAAAAAUAUUGUUUAACUUUUCAAUGAGUGUCAACUUUUGUGCAGAAUCCAUUUCAGUCACCAGAGGACCAGGUUGCUGUGGAGAGGCAGUUCUCUAUGCAGUGUCCUGACAUUGCAUCUCUUUUUGAACGUGUUUUCAAUUUCCAACAAGAAGAGUUCCAAAAUGCUUUGAAAAUACUAAUUGAUCUUGUUCGAGUUCAUGCUUAAUAGUGUUUCUUACUGUCUUCUGAAUUGAAGGAUACUCCACUUUAAAAUUAAUUCUGUCAUCAUAAA
Long non-coding RNA from Carassius carassius (crucian carp), 821 nucleotides. RefSeq lists it as uncharacterized. The record is from RefSeq and is a predicted model, not a curated record. Lineage: Eukaryota; Metazoa; Chordata; Actinopteri; Cypriniformes; Cyprinidae. The transcript is spliced from 2 exons.